RNAcentral lists this ribosomal RNA (301 nucleotides) under uncultured bacterium. Its description in RNAcentral is "partial 16S ribosomal RNA". It matches the Rfam family "Bacterial small subunit ribosomal RNA", at positions 509 to 807 of the family's 1533-position model. The record is from RNAcentral.
CAGCCGCCGCGGGAAUACGAAGGGUGCAAGCGUUAAUCGGAAUUACUGGGCGUAAAGCGUGCGUAGGCGGUGAGUUAAGUCUGCUGUGAAAUCCCCGGGCUCAGCCUGGGAAUGGCAGUGGAUACUGGCUCGCUAGAGUGUGUCAGAGGAUGGUGGAAUUCCCGGUGUAGCGGUGAAAUGCGUAGAGAUCGGGAGGAACAUCAGUGGCGAAGGCGACUAUCUGGGCCAACACUGACACUUAGGCACGAAAGCGUGGGGAGCAAACAGGAUUAGAUACCCCGGUAGUCCCUGUCUCUUAUAC